RNAcentral lists this long non-coding RNA (936 nucleotides) under Lactuca sativa (garden lettuce). Its description in RNAcentral is "long non-coding RNA (LSAT_LNC009119)". Lineage: Eukaryota; Viridiplantae; Streptophyta; Magnoliopsida; Asterales; Asteraceae. The record is from RNAcentral.
CUCUCUCUCUCUGAUACAUCAUCUUCUUCAAAACCCACCAUCAGGUCCUCACCAUUGUUCUUCCUUCCAGCCGCCACAAAUCAACCAACAAAAAAUACAACCCAACACCAGGUAUGUUAUUGUCCUCAUAUCCCUUUAUUCUUCUUCUUUCUCUUCUCCCUUUUUUCUCUCUUAAUUUAAAAAAACCCAGAUUUAGGGACACUCCAAACCUCUGUUAUGUUGAUGAUGAGGCAGCGAUGGCACACCCAUUCUUUCUCACUGGAGAAGAUGAACAAAAACCAAACCAGAUCCUAGCCUCAAGGUCGUAAAAUAACGAUGAUCAAUCAGCGACGGUUACAAACGAUGCCAUACAAAUCCAAGUAACAUCUUUCUCUCUCUCUCUCUCUCUCUCUAUCAUGCCCAUUGCCUUCUUCCCAUAAAAUAUCAAACACACACAUUCUCUUUGAGAAUUAAACACACACACACACACUAUCGUUUACAUUUGUUUCCAAAAGUAAUUUUAGGGCUUUUAGCCCUAGAAAUUAGAUACAAGUUCACUUACUAUCCUUUUCAUUUAUUUCAGAUGUUCAAUUGUUCAUAAUAAUCGAUUUUGGUGUUGAUUGUGUUAGAUUGCAGAGGAGGUAAUUGGAUAUCAGUGCUUCACUGGAAACCUCUUUUUGGAUUCAAUCAUUUUUUGUGAGUUUUAUUUAUGUUUGGGUUCUGCUCUAAUGUGAAUUGCUAUAUCAUACUGUAUAAUGUAAAGGUGAAGAACAAUAAUUAUAGAUUUAGGGCUUCUCCUUUGAACUCGAAAAUCAGGAAUAAAAAGAUGAAAUCAAAGAAAUCUUGAUGCCUGUAACUUCAAUAAACUCAGAAGCGGAUAGAGGACCGAUACCGAUGAAGAGAUCUGAUCAGCCGCUUGUGUUUGUGUGUGUGUGUGUGUGAGAGAGAGAGAGAGAG